GGGUUGUGAGGUUAAGCGACUAAGCGUACACGGUGGAUGCCCUGGCAGUCAGAGGCGAUGAAGGGCGUGCUAAUCUGCGAUAAGCGCCGGUAAGGUGAUAUGAACCGUUAUAACCGGCGAUACCCGAAUGGGGAAACCCAGUGUGACUCGUCACACUAUCAUUAACUGAAUCCAUAGGUUAAUGAGGCGAACCGGGGGAACUGAAACAUCUAAGUACCCCGAGGAAAAGAAAUCAACCGAGAUUCCCCCAGUAGCGGCGAGCGAACGGGGAGGAGCCCAGAGCCUGAAUCAGCAUGUGUGUUAGUGGAAGCGUCUGGAAAGGCGCGCGAUACAGGGUGACAGCCCCGUACACAAAAGCGCAUGUGCUGUGAGCUCGAUGAGUAGGGCGGGACACGUGGUAUCCUGUCUGAAUAUGGGGGGACCAUCCUCCAAGGCUAAAUACUCCUGACUGACCGAUAGUGAACCAGUACCGUGAGGGAAAGGCGAAAAGAACCCCGGCGAGGGGAGUGAAAAAGAACCUGAAACCGUGUACGUACAAGCAGUGGGAGCCCCACCACCAAAGCAUUAUCUGGUGUUGAAGGCCCUGCAAAGCAGCAUCGCGGUGGCGGAGCGUCGUUUGCGACGCCCAACACACAAAACAAGCGGUGAAUGCUUUGGGGUGGGGUGACUGCGUACCUUUUGUAUAAUGGGUCAGCGACUUAUAUUCUGUAGCAAGGUUAACCGAAUAGGGGAGCCGGAGGGAAACCGAGUCUUAAUUGGGCGUUAAGUUGCAGGGUAUAGACCCGAAACCCGGUGAUCUAGCCAUGGGCAGGUUGAAGGUUGGGUAACACUAACUGGAGGACCGAACCGACUAAUGUUGAAAAAUUAGCGGAUGACCUGUGGCUGGGGGUGAAAGGCCAAUCAAACCGGGAGAUAGCUGGUUCUCCCCGAAAGCUAUUUAGGUAGCGCCUCGUGAAUUCAUCUCCGGGGGUAGAGCACUGUUUCGGCUAGGGGGCCAUCCCGGCUUACCAACCCGAUGCAAACUGCGAAUACCGGAGAAUGUUAUCACGGGAGACACACGGCGGGUGCUAACGUCCGUCGUGAAGAGGGAAACAACCCAGACCGCCAGCUAAGGUCCCAAAGUCAUGGUUAAGUGGGAAACGAUGUGGGAAGGCCCAGACAGCCAGGAUGUUGGCUUAGAAGCAGCCAUCAUUUAAAGAAAGCGUAAUAGCUCACUGGUCGAGUCGGCCUGCGCGGAAGAUGUAACGGGGCUAAACCAUGCACCGAAGCUGCGGCAGCGACGCUGAUGCGUUGUUGGGUAGGGGAGCGUUCUGUAAGCCUGCGAAGGUGACCUGUGAGGGUUGCUGGAGGUAUCAGAAGUGCGAAUGCUGACAUAAGUAACGAUAAAGCGGGUGAAAAGCCCGCUCGCCGGAAGACCAAGGGUUCCUGUCCAACGUUAAUCGGGGCAGGGUGAGUCGACCCCUAAGGC
RNAcentral lists this ribosomal RNA (1468 nucleotides) under Salmonella enterica subsp. enterica serovar Typhimurium. RNAcentral describes it as "partial 23S ribosomal RNA". It matches the Rfam family "Bacterial large subunit ribosomal RNA", at positions 1 to 1397 of the family's 2925-position model. Lineage: Bacteria; Pseudomonadati; Pseudomonadota; Gammaproteobacteria; Enterobacterales; Enterobacteriaceae. The record is from RNAcentral.